This is a long non-coding RNA of Diachasma alloeum, 1720 nucleotides long. RefSeq lists it as uncharacterized. The transcript is spliced from 3 exons. Lineage: Eukaryota; Metazoa; Arthropoda; Insecta; Hymenoptera; Braconidae. The record is from RefSeq and is a predicted model, not a curated record.
UGUGGAUAAGCAGCAGGUGGAGAAUAAAAUUUUCUGCAAUGAUGAGCCGCGCGAUCAUUAGUUUUUCACCCAUUCUCUGUUGAAGAAUUCGAUCUCUAGUUUUACUAUACCUACCCGGUUUUUCUUAUAGAUUGAAAAAAUUAGCACAAUUUCAUAUUUCUAUACAACUUUUUCUAUUGAGACAUUUUUUAUCGACAUGAAUUUUCUACAUUAUUUUUUCCAAUCGCUAAUAUCUCUAUAUGAAUGAAUUUCUUCAAGUGGAAUUGGAUCUACUGCGUAUUUGUGUAUUGGAAGAAACAAAUGUCAAAUCGAUGUAAAUUGUGUAUUCAUCUUUCAAUUCUCAAAUUUGUCAUUUAAGUAAGUUGUAAUUUUAUUGCAAUUAAUUAAAAUGAGUGGGAGGAAGGUAAAUUGAAAUGGAAUAAUUCUCAAGUGCGUCAUUAUCUGAGUUUGUUCAGGACGGCCCCAAAGUAAUCACAAUGUUGGAUUAUUGGAAACUGUUUGCAUAAUGGUAGUUUCGUUGUAUAAUUCAGGUCUCUGUUGCUUCUGUGCAUAUAUAUACCCAAACGCUUUCUUAAAUAAUGCAUUGAUGCAUUGAUUGUUCAUGUUUCGUCACUUGGUCAGCUUAAUGUCGUCAUACCUAUACUGGCAAAUGUCACAUAUUGAAACAAUAAUGGUCGCAAUUGAACAAAUCUGGGAAAAUUGUAACCCAUGCAAUAAUUUAUCAUCCAAUAGUUUCUGAUAUAUGAUUUAUUACAAAUAAAAAUGAUAAUAAUACAAUUAUACAGCAGCUAAUUAGUAGGUCUAGAUCUAAGAGAAUUGGACAAGCGAUCGAAAUAUAGUGCCCCCUGCAAAAGGAAAUUGAAAUCCAUGAAGAAAAAAAAAAUACAAAUAGCCUUGAUUGUUAUAAACUACUUAAACUCACCACUAAAAAUGUUGCUGCCAUCAAAAGACUCUUCAGUCUCACAUUAGCAUCACUUGGAAAUGUCAGGAGCAGAAUGUGAUCGACGAGUAGAUGAUCGUAUUGAUGACUUAUGGAGGCUAUUUGGCGAGUCAUGUCUAUGGACAAAACCUAAAGAGGAAUAUGAGUUGGCGGGUGUGGCUUCAAGUCCCUUCAAUACUUGCUUUUCAAGUUUUUUCAACUUAUCAUUUAAGCCAAGGAAUUUCACCUGGAAAGAAACUUCAUCGCUCAUGCAACAGCAGCACAUAUUGGGUCCAUCUAUGAUGCACAUGGCUUCUCUCGAAGCAUCAUAAACCGUGAAACUGGGACCGAAAAGAGUCAAGUUCUGCUCAAUACUGCCGAUGUAUUCAGUGGUUUCGACAGUCAUAUUCUGUAGGAUAGCAUAGAAACCCUGGGACACAUCCCCAACUGAGUCUCUUCGUCAGAGUGAAGGCAGAUUCCCCAGACGCAUCUCUCACAUCCAUCGUGAAACUCCUCGAAGAACCCAAAAUAUUUCUCUGACAAUUUGUAGAGUUUUCCGAAGCUAAAAAUAGAGUUUCUGCUCCUCGAAUUUUCACCCUGAAUUGAUUUGCCGAUUGUCCAAGGACUGGAACAGGUUUCAAUUGAGUACGGGAAUAGAUCAGUUCUUGUAAUGAAAGUUCUCAGCACAAAUUAUAUCUUUAAAAAAAAUUCUAUUGGAGUGUUCUCUUGGCUGUUGAUCGAUUCUAUUGACAAUUAUUUAGUAGAAAUAAAUGGAUAACCUUUGCCUUUUUUUACAACUUA